This 468-nucleotide ribosomal RNA is filed under the name uncultured bacterium. RNAcentral's name for it is "partial 16S ribosomal RNA". It matches the Rfam family "Bacterial small subunit ribosomal RNA", at positions 28 to 507 of the family's 1533-position model. The record is from RNAcentral.
GACGAACGCUGGCGGCGUGCUUAACACAUGCAAGUCGAACGGAAAGGCCCUGCUUUUGUGGGGUGCUCGAGUGGCGAACGGGUGAGUAACACGUGAGUAACCUGCCCUUGACUUUGGGAUAACUUCAGGAAACUGGGGCUAAUACCGGAUAGGAGCUCCUGCUGCAUGGUGGGGGUUGGAAAGUUUCGGCGGUUGGGGAUGGACUCGCGGCUUAUCAGCUUGUUGGUGGGGUAGUGGCUUACCAAGGCUUUGACGGGUAGCCGGCCUGAGAGGGUGACCGGCCACAUUGGGACAGAGAUACGGCCCAGACUCCUACGGGAGGCAGCAGUGGGGAAUAUUGCACAAUGGGCGGAAGCCUGAUGCAGCAACGCCGCGUGCGGGAUGACGGCCUUCGGGUUGUAAACCGCUUUAGCCUGUGACGAAGCGUGAGUGACGGUAAUGGGUAAAGAAGCACCGGCUAACUACGUG